RNAcentral lists this ribosomal RNA (255 nucleotides) under uncultured bacterium. RNAcentral's name for it is "partial 16S ribosomal RNA". It matches the Rfam family "Bacterial small subunit ribosomal RNA", at positions 524 to 777 of the family's 1533-position model. The record is from RNAcentral.
UACGAAGGGGGCUAGCGUUGUUCGGAUUAACUGGGCGUAAAGGGUGCGUAGGCGGGUUUUUAAGUCAGGGGUGAAAUCCCGAGGCUCAACCUCGGAACUGCCUUUGAUACUGGAAAUCUUGAGUCUGGGAGAGGUGAGUGGAACUGCGAGUGUAGAGGUGAAAUUCGUAGAUAUUCGCAAGAACACCGGUGGCGAAGGCGGCUCACUGGCCCGGAACUGACGCUGAGGCACGGAAAGCGUGGGGAGCAAACAGGG